GCGGGUGUAGCUCAGUUGGUUAGAGCACUGGUUUGUGGUACCAGGUGUCGCCGGUUCAAAUCCGGUCACCCGCCCCA
RNAcentral lists this transfer RNA (77 nucleotides) under Alphaproteobacteria bacterium. Its description in RNAcentral is "tRNA-His". It matches the Rfam family "tRNA". From Rfam's summary of the family: Transfer RNA (tRNA) molecules are approximately 80 nucleotides in length. Lineage: Bacteria; Pseudomonadati; Pseudomonadota; Alphaproteobacteria. The record is from RNAcentral.